CUGUGUAUUCACAGCUCUCUCUGGAGUUCCUGACUUGUGUAUGGACCUGCUCUUAUUGGUACAGGUUUGCCUGAUGGCCUGGACCCUUGGGCAUUGUUCUUAGGCCUGUAAUGUCUGGGCUGAGGUUGUGCCUUGCCGUCCUUCUUAUCAAAUUUGGUUGGUGGUUUCUGACUUCUUCAAGAGAUGCUGCUCCUUGUUGUUCUCCAGAUCUGUUUUGUAGCAUUGCUGAGAUGUCUGUAGUAUGGAGCUAGUAGAGUAGUUGAUAGUAUGUAGCAAUAUGUACAUUAGGACUGUGCUUUAGAUUUAAAGUACAGGAAGAAAAUCUAGCAUGAGUACUAAUCAUGGAGGAUUAGGACUUCAGAGAACAGACGUUCAGAAUUAGGUGUACACAUAGGAGUUGGCAUCAGUGGCAAGGAAGGUAUGGAAGCAGCCUUAGCCAGUGACUGACAGCCCAGUUCAAAUACCUCCAGAGGCUCUUGGAGAUUCCUGGCAGGCAUUCCUGUUUGAAAAUGUGCAAGUUCCUACGCUUCCACAAAAUCUUACUUUUACACUGCUCUGUUUCUGCUCUGUCAUCUGUGACUUCU
This is a long non-coding RNA of Hirundo rustica (Barn swallow), 584 nucleotides long. RefSeq lists it as uncharacterized. The record is from RefSeq and is a predicted model, not a curated record. NCBI's taxonomy places the organism in Eukaryota, Metazoa, Chordata, Aves, Passeriformes, Hirundinidae. The transcript has 3 exons.